UACGUAGGGGGCAAGCGUUAUCCGGAUUUACUGGGUGUAAAGGGAGCGUAGACGGCAGCGCAAGUCUGGAGUGAAGUGCCGGGGCUCAACCCCGGAAUUGCUUUGGAAACUGUGCAGCUAGAGUGCGGGAGAGGUAAGCGGAAUUCCUAGUGUAGCGGUGAAAUGCGUAGAUAUUAGGAGGAACACCAGUGGCGAAGGCGGCUUACUGGACCGUAACUGACGUUGAGGCUCGAAAGCGUGGGGAGCAAACAGG
Molecule: ribosomal RNA, 253 nt
Filed under: uncultured bacterium
Lineage: Bacteria
Description: partial 16S ribosomal RNA
Rfam family: Bacterial small subunit ribosomal RNA
Source: RNAcentral